This 484-nucleotide ribosomal RNA is filed under the name uncultured bacterium. RNAcentral describes it as "bacterial SSU rRNA". It matches the Rfam family "Bacterial small subunit ribosomal RNA", at positions 501 to 992 of the family's 1533-position model. The record is from RNAcentral.
CUACGUGCCAGCAGCCGCGGUAAUACGUAGGUGGCGAGCGUUAUCCGGAAUUAUUGGGCGUAAAGGGUGCGUAGGCGGCCUGUUAAGUAAGUGGUUAAAUUGUUGGGCUCAACCCAAUCCAGCCACUUAAACUGGCAGGCUAGAGUAUUGGAGAGGCAAGUGGAAUUCCAUGUGUAGCGGUAAAAUGCGUAGAUAUAUGGAGGAACACCAGUGGCGAAGGCGGCUUGCUAGCCAAAGACUGACGCUCAUGCACGAAAGCGUGGGGAGCAAAUAGGAUUAGAUACCCUAGUAGUCCACGCCGUAAACGAUGAAUACUAAGUAUUGGGGAAACUCAGUGCUGCAGCUAACGCAAUAAGUAUUCCGCCUGUGGAGUAUGCACGCAAGUGUGAAACAUAAAGGAAUUGACGGGGGCCCGCACAAGCGGUGGAGUAUGUGGUUUAAUUCGAUGCAACGCGAAGAACCUUACCUUCUCUUGACAUCCAGA